GAGAGGAAAAUCCUGGUGUAGCCUAAAAUAAAUAAAUAAAAAUAGAAGCGAGUGAUUAGAAAAAAAGUACAAGUACAUGGAAAUAGCUAGGGGUGUAAUUGUGCAGGGCCGAAUUGAGCUGAGCUUUGGCUUGUUCAAGCUCAACUUGCAAGUAUAUGUUUCAGGCUUGAGCUCGGCUCAAGCUCGAUAUUAAAGCUUGAGCUCGAUUCAUAUUAAAUAUGUUAAAUACAAGUUCAAUUUGAGCUUGGGUCAUUUCAAGUUUGUUUAUUAUAUUAAAGAUUUGAGCUCAAACUCCGCUUGUAUCAAACUUGAUAAAUUUAUUAAAACAAAUUCAAACUCGAUAAGCUUGAGCUCAAGCUUGACUUUUAUAAUACCAGUUUUAAAUCAUAAUUAUUUUUAAGAAUACAUCAUUACAUGAGUCCAUAGUCAUUAAAAAUGGAAAAUAACAAGAAAAAAUAGUUUAAAACACAUUACAAGUUAUUUUAAAAUAACACAAAU
This 498-nucleotide unclassified non-coding RNA is filed under the name Hevea brasiliensis (rubber tree). Lineage: Eukaryota; Viridiplantae; Streptophyta; Magnoliopsida; Malpighiales; Euphorbiaceae. The record is from RNAcentral.